Molecule: ribosomal RNA, 771 nt
Filed under: uncultured bacterium
Lineage: Bacteria
Description: bacterial SSU rRNA
Rfam family: Bacterial small subunit ribosomal RNA
Source: RNAcentral
AGAGUUUGAUCCUGGCUCAGGACGAACGCUGGCGGCGUGCUUAACACAUGCAAGUCGAACGGAAAGGCCCUUCGGGGUACUCGAGUGGCGAACGGGUGAGUAACACGUGGGUGAUCUGCCCUGCACUUUGGGAUAAGCCUGGGAAACUGGGUCUAAUACCGAAUAUGACCAUGCGCCUCCUGGUGUGUGGUGGAAAGCUUUUGCGGUGUGGGAUGGGCCCGCGGCCUAUCAGCUUGUUGGUGGGGUAAUGGCCUACCAGGGCGACGACGGGUAGCCGGCCUGAGAGGGUGACCGGCCACACUGGGACUGAGAUACGGCCCAGACUCCUACGGGAGGCAGCAGUGGGGAAUAUUGCACAAUGGGCGCAAGCCUGAUGCAGCGACGCCGCGUGAGGGAUGACGGCCUUCGGGUUGUAAACCUCUUUCAGCACAGACGAAGCGCAAGUGACGGUAUGUGCAGAAGAAGGACCGGCCAACUACGUGCCAGCAGCCGCGGUAAUACGUAGGGUCCGAGCGUUGUCCGGAAUUACUGGGCGUAAAGAGCUCGUAGGUGGUUUGUCGCGUUGUUCGUGAAAACUCACAGCUUAACUGUGGGCGUGCGGGCGAUACGGGCAGACUUGAGUACUGCAGGGGAGACUGGAAUUCCUGGUGUAGCGGUGGAAUGCGCAGAUAUCAGGAGGAACACCGGUGGCGAAGGCGGGUCUCUGGGCAGUAACUGACGCUGAGGAGCGAAAGCGUGGGGAGCGAACAGGAUUAGAUACCCUGGUAGUCC